RNAcentral lists this long non-coding RNA (470 nucleotides) under Anthonomus grandis grandis. RNAcentral describes it as "uncharacterized LOC126749648". The record is from RNAcentral. Lineage: Eukaryota; Metazoa; Arthropoda; Insecta; Coleoptera; Curculionidae.
CGGACGUCGAAAACGACUUUUUUAGGAUUUUCAAAGUGCUCUCAUUCCCUUAGUUCUGCUCGGAUCCUGUUAUAACCCGGUGUUUUCGUAAUCUAGGUGACCCAAAUAAGACGCUGGUAUACUUAGUUUGAUUUCAAAAAAAAUCAAUUUUUGGUGAAAAAAUUCGAUACGGGGGGGUAUACCCGAAAAAUGAAAAAACCCAAACUUUGAAGGUCGAUAUCUCGGCUUCUAUGGGAGCUAUCGGGAAAAUUCCAACGGUUUUGUCUUAGUUUUGUCAUUCUGAAUCCAACGAGACCAUCCGCAAGGUCGUAGCUCUUACGAUAGCCGAGAUAUGGCAUUUUUGAUGCCCAUUUUUGGCCUCAAAAACGGACGUCGAAAACAACUUUUUCAGGAUUUUCAAAGUGCUCUCAUUCCCUUAGUUCUGCUCGGAUCCUGUUAUAACCCGGUGUUUUCGUAAUCUAGGUGACCCA